Lolium perenne is the source of this 2013-nucleotide long non-coding RNA. RefSeq lists it as uncharacterized. The record is from RefSeq and is a predicted model, not a curated record. NCBI's taxonomy places the organism in Eukaryota, Viridiplantae, Streptophyta, Magnoliopsida, Poales, Poaceae.
ACUACUAUACUAAACCUUAACAAAUCCGAUUUUUCUCAGAAUUUUGGUUUACUUUGUUGAUUAAGCCAUUGGUUGACACGUGUGGUAUGUUGCAUCCAGUUUAUUUCGUGUGCACGUCUAGGGCUGUCUUGCAUUUCUUUUUCGUUUGGUCUCUGUCUGUUUCUAUAUUUCUGCGUCCGUUCUGUGUGUGCCUACUAUUUUUUGUUCUGUUACCGUGGGUCCCGCAUGUCUCCUACCGCUGUUACGCUGGGGCUCCUCGAUUAGUGCUGCAGCAGCGCUGUGUUUCCUUUUGUGCUCCGCCAUGAUUUUCGCCUUUCUUCUCCGUUUCCGUUUCUUUCGGAUGGUCCGUCCGCCGUCGCACCCGUUCGUCUCGCCUGCCGAUGGAGGGCCUGGUCAUUCUCCUUCUGCUUCUGUUCGUUCUCAUGGAGAGGCGGUCCAUGGGGGGUUGCCCGCUGUUCCUGGCCGCCGCGGUGGUCGGCUUGCUGUUCGCGGCCGACUUGCUCCUCGGUUGCCGCGGCGCACAUGCCGACGUGCUGCACGCCGCCGCCAGUCCCCUUCGUCCUCUCCUGUAUCUGCUGCGGCAUGUGAUCUUUCCAGUGCACCGGUUACUAGGCCAGAUCUUUUUUCCUCUGGUAAUUUGUCACUGGAUUCGUCCGCCCGACUGCCUAUUACAAUAGGUAAUUUGGCUGCUGGUGGGUGUCGCGGUGGUGGGGCGGCUGUUCGUGGCAGACCCCGUGCUGUGCUUUCACCACGGGGCGGCCGUGUUCGUGCGCGCCGGCGCCCGCCGCGGCCCGAGUGUGCCGAAACUGCUGGUCGGAUUCCGAUGGCGCCUGCCGCUGUCACAGAUCAUGUGACGCUGGAUUCGUCUGCAUCCUCUUCUGAUUGGGCCGCCGUCGAGAAAUUAGAAUGGGAAAGCGUCCUCUUUUAUCAGAUGGGGAUUCUUCCGCGAGGGUGCCCAUGCCCGUGUCUUCUCCUCUGAUGUUUCGUACUCUGCCCUCAGGGCCUGCUCCAUUGCCGCCUGCUUCCUUCCCUGCUAGGCUGCCUUCAGUUCGGCCUACCUCUUCGCCUGGUGUGCUGUAGAUUCUGCCCUUCAGGCAGUACUGAUGCCGGAUGUGCCGUUUAUGUUCGGCCCCGCCUGUUCUUCCCUGACAGGCUACCUGACGCCUUCUGGUCUGUGCACAUCCUUUGUUCUCAUGUUGUUCUUUUCUACUGUGCGUACGCUAUCCGGUUUGCUUUCUUCUCUGAAUUUUGUGUUGCAGUGCUUCCUUCGCCCUUUGUCCAGGCUACAGUCUGCGUUUUCAAAUCCCCGUAAAAGAAUGAUCAUUCAUGCUUUCCAGCGGAAAAGAGCUAGAGUUCCUCUCCAUGGACCACCUUUUUCUGCGAACCCUAUUGCUUGGUUAAAGCUAGGCGCUCCUUCUAUGGUCCUCCUGCGUACAAGUGUGAGAAGUGUGGUGCCUUAUUCUGUUAUCUUGAGCGAUGUAAAAGAUCUUAUGUCAGCAAGGGACGCCUGCCAGUCUUCUCUGGUUGUUGCCUUCGUGGGAAAGUAUUGUUGCCUCGAUUUAACGACUGGCCUUCUCCCCUGAAGGAGUCUUCUUCUACUACUAUGGCAGAUGUGCCUUCUACUUCUUCUUCUACGGCUCUUCGUUCUGAAACAUAUCAUGGCAUUAUGGAUUCCAUGGAUGAAGGUGGUUCUACUGGUAAAAAAUUGGGUGUUGAGAACACACAUGCUAAAAUUCAAGAAAUCUCUAUGACAGAUGGCAAUCACAUCAACAUCAUGAUUAGAGUACAAUAUUGAUGUGCAAAAAAGGGACUGAUACAGAGGUAGUUACUAUGUUCAUUUUUACGCCUAUUUGUCUCUCUUCGAAAAUUCUGUACUGUUGAUGUGUAAGUAGAUGGUUUGUUGAAUUUUCUAGCCAGACUUGGAUUUGCCAGUAAAUUUUUAUUUGACCUUUUGAUCUUAUUUUACUGAAAUAUUGUUUAUUUGACAAGAUAAUGCACUUCCUAUUACUGUUA